RNAcentral lists this long non-coding RNA (1025 nucleotides) under Salvator merianae (Argentine black and white tegu). Its description in RNAcentral is "lncRNA (ENSSMRG00000019021.1)". The record is from RNAcentral. Lineage: Eukaryota; Metazoa; Chordata; Lepidosauria; Squamata; Teiidae.
CUUUCAUCCAAAAAGGUACCUGCUUACCCAUUGCCUUGUAUCAAAAGGAACUACAGNAGCUGCUAUCAGAACACCUGACAUUUCCAAAAUAUGGUUUGCAGGUCCAAAAGGGUCUGUACUGACAUUCUACUAAAAUCACAGUAUUCCACACCAUUUGUUGAUCUUACUGGAGCUGCCUCACCUUCAGCUGUGCCUAUCAAGAGUCAAUACAGAUCUAAUGUUCAAGAGAAGUGUCUGCAGGAGAAGGACAAUGUUGCUUNUUUAUUGUUCUCUCAGAAUUCAACCAUAUAUAGAAGGAUGACCUCCUCUUUCAAGAUCAGGGUUUAUAUCAAAAACAUUUAAUUGCAGGGCAGUCUGGCAUUAAGAAAUAUGGAGAUCAAAGAGGUAACUGAGAACAAAAAUCUCACCCAUCUUCAUGCUUCUUAGGGUUUAAAUUCCAGUGUGCAAGAAGAAGUGAGGACAGACAAGCAACCAGAUGUCUGGAGUGCAGAGCUAUUGCAUGAAAUGAAAGCUUCGCCUUCUGACAAGGUAUUUUGGGUCACUUUGAAGGGGNGACCCAGCAGCUUCCAUAGGUUUGCUGAAUACAACAGGGAAUUUGUUAUGUUACAANAAAAAUACUAUGAGAAAUCCUCAANGAAUGAAUAUGAUNUGAAGAGGAAGCUGGGGGAANCNGUAUUUUUUAAAAAAUUAUUACAUUAAAUUGAUUUUUAAAAUUAUAGUAUUAUGUUGAAUGGAUACAUACCAUCAUAGUUUUACCACUAGAUGGCAAUAUUGUUCAUUUCUAAGCCUUUAUAUGCUGUCNCUGCUCUGCAGAUUCAGGUCUGCUUCUGCCCAAACAGCCUAAUGACUAUUUUAUNUCUUUGCCUGUAACUGCACUCUCUGUUACUCUCUACAAUCUUGAGACACAAAAAUAAGGAGGCUUUCUUUUAAAAAUAACUUUAUACAGAAGCACAACUUGGAUAAUGAGUGCUUUGCAAACGCAAGCUGCUGCAGAUGAUGGAGAAUUGGCACAUGUACACGUGUUG